RNAcentral lists this transfer RNA (77 nucleotides) under Morganella morganii. RNAcentral describes it as "tRNA-Ile". It matches the Rfam family "tRNA". Rfam says of the family: Transfer RNA (tRNA) molecules are approximately 80 nucleotides in length. RNAcentral also lists the same sequence under 1 other name. The record is from RNAcentral. Lineage: Bacteria; Pseudomonadati; Pseudomonadota; Gammaproteobacteria; Enterobacterales; Morganellaceae.
GGCCCCUUAGCUCAGUUGGUUAGAGCACGCGACUCAUAAUCGCUUGGUCACUGGUUCAAGUCCAGUAGGGGCAACCA